Molecule: ribosomal RNA, 516 nt
Filed under: Macrococcoides caseolyticum
Lineage: Bacteria; Bacillati; Bacillota; Bacilli; Caryophanales; Staphylococcaceae
Description: bacterial SSU rRNA
Rfam family: Bacterial small subunit ribosomal RNA
Source: RNAcentral
UGGCUCAGGAUGAACGCUGGCGGCGUGCCUAAUNCAUGCAAGUCGAGCGAACGGACGAGAGUGCUUGCACUCUCUGAUGUUAGCGGCGGACGGGUGAGUAACACGUGGGUAACCUACCUAUAAGACUGGGAUAACUUCGGGAAACCGGAGCUAAUACCGGAUAAUAUUUAGCUUCGCAUGAAGCAAUAGUGAAAGACGGUUCUGCUGUCACUUAUAGAUGGACCCGCGGUGUAUUAGCUAGUUGGUGAGGUAACGGCUCACCAAGGCAACGAUACAUAGCCGACCUGAGAGGGUGAUCGGCCACACUGGGACUGAGACACGGCCCAGACUCCUACGGGAGGCAGCAGUAGGGAAUCUUCCGCAAUGGACGAAAGUCUGACGGAGCAACGCCGCGUGAGUGAAGAAGGUUUUCGGAUCGUAAAACUCUGUUGUAAGGGAAGAACAAGUACGUUAGUAACUGAACGUACCUUGACGGUACCUUACCAGAAAGCCACGGCUAACUACGGCCCAGCAGCC